CCCUAGCCCGGAUAGCAGCGGAAAUCCUUUUGCGGAGUUUACGAAGUAAAAGAUUGCAGCGAAUAGCCGGAACAGCU
This 77-nucleotide small RNA is filed under the name Flavobacterium noncentrifugens. Its description in RNAcentral is "Flavo-1 RNA". It matches the Rfam family "Flavo-1 RNA". The record is from Rfam by way of RNAcentral. Lineage: Bacteria; Pseudomonadati; Bacteroidota; Flavobacteriia; Flavobacteriales; Flavobacteriaceae.